UGCACAAUGGGCGCAAGCCUGAUGCAGCAACGCCGCGUGAGGGAUGAAGGCCUUCGGGUUGUAAACCUCUUUUAGCAGGGAAGAAGCGAAAGUGACGGUACCUGCAGAAAAAGCACCGGCUAACUACGUGCCAGCAGCCGCGGUAAUACGUAGGGUGCAAGCGUUGUCCGGAAUUAUUGGGCGUAAAGAGCUCGUAGGCGGUUUGUCGCGUCUGCUGUGAAAACCAGAAGCUCAACUUCUGGCCUGCAGUGGGUACGGGCAAACUAGAGUGCGGUAGGGGAGAACGGAAUUCCUGGUGUAGCGGUGGAAUGCGCAGAUAUCAGGAGGAACACCGAUGGCGAAGGCAGUUCUCUGGGCCGUUACUGACGCUGAGGAGCGAAAGCGUGGGGAGCGAACAGGAUUAGAUACCCUGGUAGUCCACGCCGUAAACGGUGGGUGCUAGCUGUGGGCCACAUUCCACGUGGUCCGUGACGAAGUUAACACAUUAAGCACCCCGCCUGGGGAGUACGGCCGCAAGGCUAAAACUCAAAGGAAUUGACGGGGGCCCGCACAAGCGGCGGAGCAUGCGGAUUAAUUCGAUGCAACGCGAAGAACCUUACCAAGGCUUGACAUAUAGAGGAAAAGUACAGAAAUGUACUCCCCGUAAGGUCUCUAUACAGGUGGUGCAUGGUUGUCGUCAGCUCGUGUCGUGAGAUGUUGGGUUAAGUCCCGCAACGAGCGCAACCCUCGUCCUAUGUUGCCAGCACGUUAUGGUGGGAACUCAUGGGAUACUGCCGGGGUCAACUCGGAGGAAGGUGGGGAUGACGUCAAAUCAUCAUGCCCCUUAUGUCUUGGGCUUCACGCAUGCUACAAUGGCCGGUACAGAGGGCUGCAAUACCGUAAGGUGGAGCGAAUCCCAAAAAGCCGGUCUCAGUUCGGAUUGAGGUCUGCAACUCGACCUCAUGAAGUCGGAGUCGCUAGUAAUCGUAGAUCAGCAACGCUACGGU
This 986-nucleotide ribosomal RNA is filed under the name marine metagenome. RNAcentral's name for it is "bacterial SSU rRNA". It matches the Rfam family "Bacterial small subunit ribosomal RNA", at positions 365 to 1363 of the family's 1533-position model. The record is from RNAcentral.